Molecule: ribosomal RNA, 216 nt
Filed under: uncultured fungus
Lineage: Eukaryota; Fungi
Description: partial small subunit ribosomal RNA
Rfam family: Eukaryotic small subunit ribosomal RNA (bases 89-216)
Source: RNAcentral
GGCCUGGCUGGGCGGUCCGCCUAACGGCGUUGUACUGUCCGGACGGGCCUUACUUCUUGGUGAACCUGCGUGCCCUUCACUGGGUGCGUAGGGGAACCAGGACUUUUACCUUGAGAAAAUUAGAGUGUUCAAAGCAGGCCUAUGCUCGAAUACAUUAGCAUGGAAUAAUAAAAUAGGACGUGCGGUUCUAUUUUGUUGGUUUCUAGAGUCGCCGUA